This 389-nucleotide ribosomal RNA is filed under the name uncultured bacterium. RNAcentral describes it as "bacterial SSU rRNA". It matches the Rfam family "Bacterial small subunit ribosomal RNA", at positions 28 to 417 of the family's 1533-position model. The record is from RNAcentral.
GACGAACGCUGGCGGCGUGCCUAACACAUGCAAGUCGAACGGGGUAAAGACUUCGGUUUUUACUUAGUGGCGAACGGGUGAGUAACGCGUGAGAAACCUGCCUUUCAGUGGGGGACAACAGUUGGAAACGACUGCUAAUACCGCAUAAUGUUAUUUGGGGGCAUCCUUGAAUAACCAAAGAUUUAUUGCUGAAAGAUGGUCUCGCGUCUGAUUAGCUAGUUGGUAAGGUAACGGCUUACCAAGGCAACGAUCAGUAGCCGACCUGAGAGGGUGACCGGCCACAUUGGGACUGAGACACGGCCCAAACUCCUACGGGAGGCAGCAGUGGGGGAAUAUUGGGCAAUGGGGGAAACCCUGACCCAGCAACGCCGCGUGAAGGAAGAAGGCCU